AAAGCUUUCCGGCGGUGACGACCUACCCAUGAGAACAUGCCUCUCACAAAGGAUCUCCUUCAUCCCUCUCCAGAAGAGGAGAAGAGGAAACACAAGAAGAAAUGCCUGGUGCAGAGCCCCAAUUCCUACUUCGUGGAUAUGAAAUGCCCAGGAUGCUAUAAAAUCAGGUAGUUUUGUGUGUUGGCUGCUCCACUGUCCUCUGCCAGCCUACAGGAGGAAAAGCAAGGCUUACAGAAGGAUGUUCUUUCAGGAGGAAGCAGCACUAAAAGCAUUCUGAAUCAAGAUGAGUGGGAAACCAUCUCAAUAAACACAUUUGGAUUAAAAAAAA
This is an RNA transcript of Cebus imitator (Panamanian white-faced capuchin), 328 nucleotides long. It is a transcript of the gene named 40S ribosomal protein S27-like, with no coding region annotated. The record is from RefSeq and is a predicted model, not a curated record. The transcript has a single exon. NCBI's taxonomy places the organism in Eukaryota, Metazoa, Chordata, Mammalia, Primates, Cebidae.